RNAcentral lists this ribosomal RNA (546 nucleotides) under uncultured Glomeromycotina. RNAcentral's name for it is "SSU rRNA". It matches the Rfam family "Eukaryotic small subunit ribosomal RNA", at positions 548 to 1098 of the family's 1831-position model. Lineage: Eukaryota; Fungi; Glomeromycota. The record is from RNAcentral.
UUGGAGGGCAAGUCUGGUGCCAGCAGCCGCGGUAAUUCCAGCUCCAAUAGCGUAUAUUAAAGUUGUUGCAGUUAAAAAGCUCGUAGUUGAAUUUCGGGACCAAUUUGUUGGUCGUGCCUCGGUACGUACUGGUAUUAUUGGUUUCUACCUUCUGAAGAACCUUGAUGUCAUUAAUUUGGUGUCUUGGGGAAUCAGGACUGUUACUUUGAAAAAAUUAGAGUGUUUAAAGCAAGCAUACGCUUGAAUACAUUAGCAUGGAAUAAUGAAAUAGGACGUUUGAUUCUAUUUUGUUGGUUUCUAGGAUCGACGUAAUGAUUAAUAGGGAUAGUUGGGGGCAUUAGUAUUCAAUUGUCAGAGGUGAAAUUCUUGGAUUUAUUGAAGACUAACUACUGCGAAAGCAUUUGCCAAGGAUGUUUUCAUUAAUCAAGAACGAAAGUUAGGGGAUCGAAGACGAUCAGAUACCGUCGUAGUCUUAACCAUAAACUAUGCCGACUAGGGAUCGGAUGAUGUUAUUUUUAAUGACUCAUUCGGCGCCUUACGGGAAAC